UACGUAGGGUGCUAGCGUUGUUCGGAAUCAUUGGGCGUAAAGCGCGUGUAGGUGGUUAGGAAAGUUGGAUGUGAAAUACCUGGGCUCAACUCAGGAAGGGCAUCCAAAACUACUUAGCUAGAGGACGAGAGAGGGAGGUGGAAUUCCUAGUGUAGAGGUGAAAUUCGUAGAUAUUAGGAGGAAUACCGGGGGCGAAGGCGGCCUCCUGGAUCGUUCCUGACACUGAGACGCGAAAGCGUGGGUAGCAAACAGG
RNAcentral lists this ribosomal RNA (253 nucleotides) under uncultured bacterium. RNAcentral describes it as "partial 16S ribosomal RNA". It matches the Rfam family "Bacterial small subunit ribosomal RNA", at positions 524 to 776 of the family's 1533-position model. The record is from RNAcentral.